UACAGAGGGUGCAAGCGUUGUUCGGAAUUAUUGGGCGUAAAGGGCGCGUAGGCGGCUUUGCAAGUGGCGGGUGAAAUCCCUCGGCUUAACCGAGGAACUGCCUGUCAAACUGCAUGGCUUGAGACCAGGAGAGGUGAGUGGAAUUCCCAGUGUAGCGGUGAAAUGCGUAGAUAUUGGGAGGAACACCAGUGGCGAAGGCGACUUCCUGGCCUGUUCUUGACGCUGAGGCGCGAAAGCUAGGGGAGCAAACGGG
RNAcentral lists this ribosomal RNA (253 nucleotides) under uncultured bacterium. RNAcentral describes it as "partial 16S ribosomal RNA". It matches the Rfam family "Bacterial small subunit ribosomal RNA", at positions 524 to 776 of the family's 1533-position model. The record is from RNAcentral.